RNAcentral lists this small RNA (81 nucleotides) under pig gut metagenome. RNAcentral describes it as "GA-cis RNA". It matches the Rfam family "GA-cis RNA", at positions 4 to 82 of the family's 88-position model. The record is from RNAcentral.
UAGGAGGAUGCUAUCAUGAGCGAAGCGAGUGAUUCCGGAUGCAUCCGACGACCUGCCGCCGAGCAAAGCGAUGGGGCGUUA